Molecule: ribosomal RNA, 527 nt
Filed under: Escherichia coli
Lineage: Bacteria; Pseudomonadati; Pseudomonadota; Gammaproteobacteria; Enterobacterales; Enterobacteriaceae
Description: partial 23S ribosomal RNA
Rfam family: Bacterial large subunit ribosomal RNA
Source: RNAcentral
CUGGAGGUAUCAGAAGUGCGAAUGCUGACAUAAGUAACGAUAAAGCGGGUGAAAAGCCCGCUCGCCGGAAGACCAAGGGUUCCUGUCCAACGUUAAUCGGGGCAGGGUGAGUCGACCCCUAAGGCGAGGCCGAAAGGCGUAGUCGAUGGGAAACAGGUUAAUAUUCCUGUACUUGGUGUUACUGCGAAGGGGGGACGGAGAAGGCUAUGUUGGCCGGGCGACGGUUGUCCCGGUUUAAGCGUGUAGGCUGGUUUUCCAGGCAAAUCCGGAAAAUCAAGGCUGAGGCGUGAUGACGAGGCACUACGGUGCUGAAGCAACAAAUGCCCUGCUUCCAGGAAAAGCCUCUAAGCAUCAGGUAACAUCAAAUCGUACCCCAAACCGACACAGGUGGUCAGGUAGAGAAUACCAAGGCGCUUGAGAGAACUCGGGUGAAGGAACUAGGCAAAAUGGUGCCGUAACUUCGGGAGAAGGCACGCUGAUAUGUAGGUGAAGUCCCUCGCGGAUGGAGCUGAAAUCAGUCGAAGAUA